RNAcentral lists this long non-coding RNA (644 nucleotides) under Homo sapiens (human). RNAcentral's name for it is "HSALNT0037611". The record is from RNAcentral. Lineage: Eukaryota; Metazoa; Chordata; Mammalia; Primates; Hominidae.
AUUUUAGCGUGGUAGUAAAAAUGGUAAGAUAAAAAGUCUUGGUUCCAUAGGAGCCUAGCCCAGGAUCCCUCCCUGCCCAGAAAGGCCAAUUGUCCUCACCCAACCCAGAACGUCCACCCAGGAAGAGCCAUGCUGCUGGUUCUUACCAGAACUCUCCAGGAUUCAAAUCUUUUGUAAAAUCCAAACAAGUAAGACAACAGGAACAUCAAGGAGAUGAGAAACGAGGUGACCACAGGCUUCAUAAAGCCUAAAAAACUUCAGGCUGAGAGAAAAAGACCCCAGUCAAGAUGGGUGCGGCUCUUGUCAUCAGCACACAGGCAGUCCUAAUCUGAACAAGAAAAUGCGUCACCCAUCAAUCCAAGCCCUCCAAGAAUGUCAAGCUCCUCCUUGAAUCAUCUUGUCCUGACACCACCUGGCUCCCAGGGCCUCUGGGCAGCUGUGGCUGUGCAGCCCCUGCUUUUCACCUGUCUCCUGUCCUGGAGUGCUCGUUGCAUCUUCAGUGUGUUAGUUGCACCACUCCUUUAAGAGAGGCUCAUGCCUUACCUUAUCCCCUCAAUGACUGUCUUAUUUUUGUAUGCCCCUAAGAGCAGAGCAUGGGGCUAGAGUGGCAGUAGUGUUUCAAUAAACACUUGUUGACUUACAAU